This 376-nucleotide unclassified non-coding RNA is filed under the name plant metagenome. RNAcentral's name for it is "partial contains 5.8S ribosomal RNA, internal transcribed spacer 2, and large subunit ribosomal RNA". The stretch from base 1 to 103 matches the Rfam family "5.8S ribosomal RNA", at positions 52 to 154 of the family's 154-position model. The record is from RNAcentral.
AAUGCGCUAAGUAAUGUGCCUUGCAGAAUUCAGUGAAUCAUCGAAUCUUUGAACGCACCUUGCGCUCCUUGGUAUUCCUUGGAGCAUGCCUGUUUGAGUAUCAUGAAAUCUUCAAAGUAAAUCUUUUGUUAACUCAAUUGGUUUCUACUUUGGUAUUGGAGGUCUUUGCAGCUUCACACCUGCUCCUCUUUGUUCAUUAGCUGGAUCUCAGUGUUAUGCUUGGUUCCACUCGGCGUGAUAAGUUAUCUAUCGCUGAGGACACUGUAAAAGGUGGCCAAGGUAAAUGCAGAUGAACCGCUUCUAAUAGUCCAUUGACUUGGACAAUACUUUUAUGAUCUGAUCUCAAAUCAGGUAGGACUACCCGCUGAACUUAAGC